GACGAACGCUGGCGGCGUGCUUAACACAUGCGAGUCGAACGGAAAGGCCCUGCUUGCAGGGUACUCGAGUGGCGAACGGGUGAGUAACACGUGGGUGAUCUGCCCUGCACUUCGGGAUAAGCCUGGGAAACUGGGUCUAAUACCGGAUAGGAGCCAUCCUUAGUGUGAUGGUUGGAAAGUUUUUUCGGUGUAGGAUGAGCUGGCGGCCUAUCAGCUUGUUGGUGGGGUAAUGGCCUACCAAGGCGGCGACGGGUAGCCGGCCUGAGGGGGUGGACGGCCACAUUGGGACUGAGGUACGGCCCAGGCUCCUAAGGGAGGCAGCAGGGGGGAAUAUUGCACAAUGGGCGCAAGCCUGAUGGAGCGACGCCGCGUGGGGGAUGACGGCCUUCGGGUUGUAAACUCCUUUCGCUAGGGACGAAGCUUUUUGUGACGGUACCUAGAUAAGAAGCACCGGCUAACUACGUG
RNAcentral lists this ribosomal RNA (465 nucleotides) under uncultured bacterium. RNAcentral's name for it is "partial 16S ribosomal RNA". It matches the Rfam family "Bacterial small subunit ribosomal RNA", at positions 28 to 507 of the family's 1533-position model. The record is from RNAcentral.